This 250-nucleotide ribosomal RNA is filed under the name Staphylococcus delphini. Its description in RNAcentral is "partial 16S ribosomal RNA". It matches the Rfam family "Bacterial small subunit ribosomal RNA", at positions 1129 to 1378 of the family's 1533-position model. The record is from RNAcentral. Lineage: Bacteria; Bacillati; Bacillota; Bacilli; Caryophanales; Staphylococcaceae.
AGUUGGGCACUCUAAGUUGACUGCCGGUGACAAACCGGAGGAAGGUGGGGAUGACGUCAAAUCAUCAUGCCCCUUAUGAUUUGGGCUACACACGUGCUACAAUGGACAAUACAAAGGGCAGCGAAACCGCGAGGUCAAGCAAAUCCCAUAAAGUUGUUCUCAGUUCGGAUUGUAGUCUGCAACUCGACUACAUGAAGCUGGAAUCGCUAGUAAUCGUAGAUCAGCAUGCUACGGUGAAUACGUUCCCGGG